Molecule: transfer RNA, 74 nt
Filed under: Candidatus Pelagibacter sp.
Lineage: Bacteria; Pseudomonadati; Pseudomonadota; Alphaproteobacteria; Candidatus Pelagibacterales; Candidatus Pelagibacteraceae
Also listed under: 1 other name
Description: tRNA-Cys
Rfam family: tRNA
About the family: Transfer RNA (tRNA) molecules are approximately 80 nucleotides in length. Their secondary structure includes four short double-helical elements and three loops (D, anti-codon, and T loops).
Source: RNAcentral
GGCCGGAUGGCAGAAUGGCUAUGCAGAGGAUUGCAAAUCCUUUGAUAUCGGUUCGAUUCCGGUUCCGGCCUCCA